Small nuclear RNA from Lemur catta (Ring-tailed lemur), 107 nucleotides. NCBI's taxonomy places the organism in Eukaryota, Metazoa, Chordata, Mammalia, Primates, Lemuridae. The record is from RefSeq and is a predicted model, not a curated record.
GUGCUUGCUUCCACAGCACAUAUACUAAAAUUGGAGUGAUACAGAGAAGAUUAGCAUGGACCUUGUGCAGGGAUGACACACAAAUUCAUGAAGUUUUCUAUUAAAAA